This 465-nucleotide ribosomal RNA is filed under the name uncultured bacterium. RNAcentral describes it as "partial 16S ribosomal RNA". It matches the Rfam family "Bacterial small subunit ribosomal RNA", at positions 28 to 507 of the family's 1533-position model. The record is from RNAcentral.
GACGAACGCUGGCGGCGUGCUUAACACAUGCAAGUCGAACGGAAAGGCCCCUUUGGGGGUACUCGAGUGGCGAACGGGUGAGUAACACGUGAGUAACCUGCCCUUGACUUCGGGAUAACUUCAGGAAACUGGGGCUAAUACCGGAUAGGAAUCCUUGCUGCAUGGUGGGGGUUGGAAAGCUUCGGCGGUUUUUGCUGGACUCGCGGCUUAUCAGCUUGUUGGUGGGGUAGUGGCUUACCAAGGCUUUGACGGGUAGCCGGCCUGCGAGGGCGACCGGCCACAUUGGGACUGAGGUACGGCCCAGACUGCGACGGGGGGGAGCAGGGGGGAAUAUUGCACGAUGGGCGGAAGCCGGAUGCAGCAAGGCCGCGUGCGGGAUGACGGCCUUCGGGUUGUAAACCGCUUUCAGCAGGAGCGAAGCUUGUGGUGACGGUACCUGAAGAGGAAGCACCGGCUAACUACGUG